AUCUUCUCACAUGUGCUAAAGGGUCUCUAGACCCUAUCAAGCUUCACACAGUGCAAAUACUUUUCUGUUGUUAUACUUCAUCAUUUAUGGGAUCAUGACCCCCCCCAAAAAAAAAUUAUACAUGUUCACUGUGGCUGCAAUGCUUUGUCCAAAUAUAUUCUGUUGUAUUGGUUGAUUGGGUCUGUGGGUAAGAAAGCUAUAGUUAUGGAGUGGGGAGUUAAAUGCACAGUUUUCUGUACUAUAAAUCUCUUUUCAUGUAGGCUUGGGAUUAGCCUUUAACAGACUUGGAGAUGUAGCCACAAGUGAAUAACUCUUUUUAGAUGACCUCCAAUUCAGAGUUUCAUCAUGAAGCGUACCAUGACUUCCUAAAUCCCAGUUAAUCCUGUGAAUUCAAGAAAGUAGUUCUUGAAGAUUCUGGAACAGAGGAUGGGAAGAGUUAAGAAGAGAACAUGGUCCCACUGUUUCAAAGUACAUUCCAAUCUGGGAGUGGGGGAAGAGAGACUGGCGGUCACAAUCACUGCCUGUGGAAUGUUUGUGAGGGUUACCAUGGCUUCCCGACAUUCUGAAAGUGCUUAGCCUGAGAGGCCCCACAUAAUCUUCACAGUUCAGCGGUCUCUGAAUUGUCACCAUGUAACCUUCUUGCCUGUUAUCUGUUUACUCUGGGGAUGACUCAUGACUAGUCACUAGCCCAGUAACUUUGUAACCUUUCCCCCGGAGAAUGUGUCUGGAUGUCACAGAUCUGUGCCACCUUCAGCUUUCUCUUUUCAGGGCUCAACUUGCUUCCAACAAUAUCACUAGUUUUUAUGAGUGUUAUGUGAAGCCGCAAUAGACAACAUCUCCUCAUCUGCCCUAGCAGGCAGGAUGGGGUUCUGCCUUCUGCGUGGAGCAUGAUGGGUGAGAGGAAGCAGAGGCUGGAGAGAUGGAGGACCCACAGUUUGAAAGGAGAUGAACCCCACAGGACGCUUCCACAGAGUGAUGCUGGCCAGCCCACCUUGGACCACAGGAAGCUCCCUAAGGAAAAGAUGCAGACAAUCUCUGGGAGCCGUUUCUCCUGCGAGCAAAGUACCAUAUCAGGAAUUCCAGACAUCUGACGUUAGCAGACGACUGUGUCACACAAUGCCUGCUCUCUGCCAGAACGUCAGAGGAGCAGGGGGUGACAGUGCACGGAUCCCUGUGAGGAGAGAGCCAGCGUUUGCAGUGUAAGUGCUGCGGGCAUUGGUCCCAACACACGUCCAGUUUUCUGGUAUGCUCUGGUAUUCUGGUUCUCUUUUGGAUCCCAGUAGCAUUUGGUUGUGUAGGUUUUGCAAUUAUAUUGUGAGUGACGUCUUUGGUUUUCUGUUUACUUCAUUGUUGUUUUUUGUUUUUGUUUUUGUUUUUGUUUUUGUUUUUGUUUUUGUUUUUUAAAGCACUGACUGGGAGCCUGGGAGAUAGCUCAGUCAGUACGGCCAUGAAGACAUGAAUAUAAUCCUUAGAACCCAGAAGAAAAUGCCAGGUGCAUGCUUAGAAUCCCACCGCCGGGGAGGAGGAAACUGAAGAUCCCUGGGAUAGCUGGCUGGUCAGCCUAGCUUCCUCAGUGAGCCCCAGGCUCAAUGCUUCCUGUGGCAAGCUCCCAGGGGCCCCACCUCAAGGGUGCCUCUUCCUCGUGACCACCUGUGACCUUCAAAAUGACAGCUGCCAAGGAUGCUGAAGAUGGUCAGCCUGGCUCAUCACCAACUCUGGAACUCAGCAGCUGCAUCAAUGUGGAUGGGAAAAAAAAAAGUCUCGGUUACAUUGAUCUUUGCCAGUGUCUCCUUCAGCAACAUACAUCGCCACAACCACAUCUCCAGUGGUCUCUGGGAACAACAUCACUAUUUUCAGAUCGGUGACAGUUGUGUCAGGUGGUUGAAAAUGUCAUUAAACCCAGUACUGCUUCAAAAUUACAGUCAUUAUUGAAACCUGCUCCUAGACCUUGUUAUUUAGUCUGUUAAUAAACAAGGAUUCCUAGAACCA
This is a long non-coding RNA of Mus spicilegus (steppe mouse), 1989 nucleotides long. The record is from Ensembl. NCBI's taxonomy places the organism in Eukaryota, Metazoa, Chordata, Mammalia, Rodentia, Muridae.